GCGCCACUAGCUCAACGGUAGAGCAGCGGACUCUUAAUCCGUUGGUUCCUGGUUCGAAUCCUGGGUGGCGCACCA
Molecule: transfer RNA, 75 nt
Filed under: Nitrospirota bacterium
Lineage: Bacteria; Pseudomonadati; Nitrospirota
Description: Nitrospirae bacterium (sediment metagenome) tRNA-Lys
Rfam family: tRNA
About the family: Transfer RNA (tRNA) molecules are approximately 80 nucleotides in length.
Source: RNAcentral